GAGUUUGAUCAUGGCUCAGAACGAACGCUGGCGGCAGGCUUAACACAUGCAAGUCGAACGGACCCUUCGGGAUCAGUGGCGGACGGGUGAGUAACGCGUGGGAACCUACCCUGGGGUGGGGAAUAACCUUGGGAAACCGAGGCUAAUACCGCAUACGCCCUAUUGGGGAAAGACUAUGUUGCCCUGGGAUGGGCCCGCGUCCGAUUAGCUAGUUGGUGGGGUAAUGGCCUACCAAGGCUGCGAUCGGUAGCUGGUCUGAGAGGAUGAUCAGCCACACUGGGACUGAGACACGGCCCAGACUCCUACGGGAGGCAGCAGUGGGGAAUAUUGGACAAUGGGGGCAACCCUGAUCCAGCCAUGCCGCGUGAGUGAAGAAGGCCUUAGGGUUGUAAAGCUCUUUCACCCGUGACGAUGAUGACGGUAGCGGGAGAAGAAGCCCCGGCUAAUUCCGUGCCAGCAGCCGCGGUAC
Molecule: ribosomal RNA, 469 nt
Filed under: uncultured Alphaproteobacteria bacterium
Lineage: Bacteria; Pseudomonadati; Pseudomonadota; Alphaproteobacteria
Description: bacterial SSU rRNA
Rfam family: Bacterial small subunit ribosomal RNA
Source: RNAcentral